CCUACGGGAGGCAGCAGUGAGGAAUAUUGGUCAAUGGGCGGGAGCCUGAACCAGCCAAGCCGCGUGAGGGAAGAAGGUACAGCGUAUCGUAAACCUCUUUUGUCAGGGAACAAAGGCGGGGACUAGUCCCCGGAUGAGGGUACCUGAAGAAACAGCAUCGGCUAACUCCGUGCCAGCAGCCGCGGUAAUACGGAGGAUGCGAGCGUUAUCCGGGUUUAUGGGGGUUAAAGGGUGCGCAGGCGGCCUGUUAAGUCAGCGGUAAAAGCCCGGGGCUCAACCCCGGCGAGCCGUUGAAACUGGCGGGCUGGAGUUGGGGAGAGGUACGCGGAAUGCGCGGUGUAGCGGUGAAAUGCUUAGAUAUCGCGCAGAACCCCGAUUGCGAAGGCAGCGUACCGGCUCCACACUGACGCUGAGGCACGAAAGCGUGGGUAUCGAACAGGAGUAGAUACCCCAGUAGUC
This 459-nucleotide ribosomal RNA is filed under the name uncultured bacterium. RNAcentral describes it as "partial 16S ribosomal RNA". It matches the Rfam family "Bacterial small subunit ribosomal RNA", at positions 338 to 795 of the family's 1533-position model. The record is from RNAcentral.